GACGAACGCUGGCGGCGUGCUUAACACAUGCCAGUCGAACGGAAAGGCCCUGCUUUUGUGGGGUGCUCGAGUGGCGAACGGGUGAGUAACACGUGAGUAACCUGCCCUUGACUUUGGGAUAACUUCAGGAAACUGGGGCUAAUACCGGAUAGGAGCUCCUGCUGCAUGGUGGGGUUGGAAAGUUUCGGCGGUUGGGGAUGGACUGGCGGCUUAUCAGCUUGUUGGUGGGGUAGUGGCUUACCAAGGCUUUGACGGGUAGCCGGCAUGAGAGGGUGACCGGCGACAAUGGGACUAAGAUAGGGACCAGACUCGAACGGGAGGCAGCAGGGGGGAAUAUUGCACAAUGGGCGGAAGCCUGAUGCAGAAACGCCGCGUGCGGGAUGACGGCCUUCGGGUUGUAAACAGAUUUCGAAUGUGACGAAGCGUGAGUGACGGUAAUGGGUAAAGAAGCACCGGCUAACUACGUG
This 467-nucleotide ribosomal RNA is filed under the name uncultured bacterium. Its description in RNAcentral is "partial 16S ribosomal RNA". It matches the Rfam family "Bacterial small subunit ribosomal RNA", at positions 28 to 507 of the family's 1533-position model. The record is from RNAcentral.